GGUUAAAUGCAGAGCAUGAAUUCUGAGUAUGGGUCACCAUACUUGGCUGUAUGUCACAUCACUAAAAAAAAUCACUAAUGAAAAGUCUAUAUUUCUACCUUGUCAAAAUCAGCUCUGCACAAAUCAACCCAUUUGGUUGCACGUCCCUUUAAAUGCUAAUGAGCUCUGCUGACCCCGCCCCUCUCUUCUGUGGGGUGAUGAGCCGUUCUAAUGAGACUGUUUACUUUAGCCACAUUUGGCCACAAAUCUGGUUAACUAGCACAUUAUUAAGAAAGGGGAUUUGCAAAGAUGCUUAAAAAAACCCUUAUACUCACUUCUUCUGGAGGUGAAGCUGGAUCACGAAUGGUUUGCACGAACAUAGACACAUUUAGGUAGAUCCGGAGGUGCAUUCCCUUCACAAACAAACGUAAUCCUCUGCGUGUUCAGCAGAUGCGGGAGUAAAUGACUACUGCUAUGUUCAUUAUUAUAUCCAACAACAGAACACCUCAGUCGCUUCGGAGACAUUUGUCUACGUCCCUUCUCCGGCAUCGAAACAAUGGCAGUCGGACUGUUACAGCUCACUCAGGGUGGGUCUAAGGAAAAAACUAAUGUCUGGACCAGAUACACAGCAAACGGUGCUAAACAGCUUGACACAGGAGUGUUGAGAGGAAACAGAUGCCUGACUUCAGCAUGAAACAGAAAAGAAAAGGCAUAUUAUUGUCAGUGAAUAAGUCCUUGGGUCUCAUUUGUGAGUAAGUGCUGUGUGUAAGUUGUAGUAAUAUGUAGUUUUUUGGUUGACUGUAGGUCAACAGUUAUUCCUCACGUUUUAAUUCUCCAGAAGCCUAGAUCAACAAAUGGGUUUAGUUAUUCAUGGAUGCCCAGCCCCUCGUAAUAGGGCUUGCAAGAGUACUCAUUUUCACUAAUCACCUAGUCAUCCAUAAAUUCAGUCGACUAGUUAGUAGGUCAGGGUUACCCUACAGUUGCAGCCAGUCUCCAGCCAUGCUGAGAUGAUGGAAAACAAAAUCUUGGAAGUCUCUAUUGCCAGAUACAUGCUGCAUGAAUAGUUCAAAAUGUCCUGAUAUCUUAUAGUUUAUGUCAGCUUUUGGCCGAGGUUCAGUUGAUUAAUUGAUGUCAGAGGGGUUUGCAAGAAUUUUGGCUUUUAUGUGUGAACACUCUUUAUGAAGUCUUUAUGAACGCAACAUGCUCCAGUUUUGCUGUUGACAUUAACAUAAUUCCACUUAUAUUUUGCCUUUACAGGAUACCGAACAGAAAUAAUGUUACACAAAUACAGUUUGUGGACAGUUGUGGACUAUUAUUGCAAUAAAGAACAAACACUGAAGUCAUGUGAUCCACUAGUCGAUAAAGAUAUCAAUUAAGUGGAUUUCACUUGAGAACAAAGACUGCACAAGAUGAAGUAAUAUGAUCUGAAUUAAAAAUAAAAAAUAAAU
Cyprinus carpio (common carp) is the source of this 1427-nucleotide long non-coding RNA. RefSeq lists it as uncharacterized. NCBI's taxonomy places the organism in Eukaryota, Metazoa, Chordata, Actinopteri, Cypriniformes, Cyprinidae. The transcript is spliced from 2 exons. The record is from RefSeq and is a predicted model, not a curated record.